UCCUACAUACAGUAGCACACACAGCCAGGUAUUCAAAACAUUUAACAAUGACAUGUGGGCCCCCGAAUGACUAAAAGUAAUGAAGGCUGUGAACCUACACUUUUUGAGGAUGCAAGUCCAAUUGUAACCCUUAACGAAAUGAGCUAUCUACCGACUAUCCUGAGCCUGAAAUGGGUGGAAAGGAGGGUGGUGAGAUUAUAUAAUCCCAGUGAGUAAACAAAUAUCAUCUAAAAUAUCUAAAGCUGAGUAAAUAGAGACAGAUAAAAUAAAUUAGCAUAAAAAUGAUUCACAGCAUUUCUAACUCAUUUUAAUAAGAUAAAAUAGAUUCAUUUCACCCAAAUAAACAAUGAGACUUAUGAUUUCUUGAAAAGCUUGGCUUGUCCCAAAAUCAUUCUCAUACUCAGUUGUCAGGGAUACCUUGGCCUGGGGCUAUCCCAACCGAAUCCGCCAAGGCUGUUAAAAAGUCAUGUAUGCAUAAAUCAUGUUUUUUUUUUGAAAAGAUAGUCGUUCCUUGGUGUUGGCUUAGUUCACCCUCACGUGGUGGUUCAGCGUGAAGUGAACUCUAAAGUUUUACCUCAGGAGUUACCCUACACGCCUCUCCAAUCGAGGUAAGAAUAUACCUGGAUUCCGUGCCCCUCUAAUAGGCUGGUCCACAGAACCCGCCACUGCAGUGAGCAAUCUAUAACCCACCAAUUCAAUAAAAAUUCAACAGCAUGACAUGGCAAUUUUAUCAUUAUCCAGCCUAUCAAGGCAAACAACAGUUUAUACAUUUUCAACACAAAUACCCAUCCAGCCAUUCAUGCCCACAUUAUCAUAAGCCAUUCAAUUCAAAACAUAAUUUACAAUACAGCAAGUAGUCUUCAAUUACUCCAUUUUCAAGUCAUCAUUAAAUUUCAAAACAAUUUAUAAAAUCAUUUCAUUUAAACACAUUUUCCAUAAAAUUACAAAAUCAGAUAAAAACAUACUUUAGAUAAUUAAGACGAUAAUAAGGUUACUCACUGUAAUGGAAAUUAAGUUUCGAGUACUCCGAUUCUUGAUCCUCGGGUACUAUCUCUUUACUUUUGCCAGAAAGCUCACCACCUAGACAUAAUGCACAAUAAGCCAUUUACUACAUUUGUGCUAAACUGUUAUAAAACUAAUUCAGGCUCUACACUAAUGCAUAAAAUGGGAUGUGAAAUGCUCAGGUAACCAUCUAAAUACGACGUUCAAUAUAAGUUCAAUUGUGUACCUAAAUAAAAUGAUAUUGGCCUAAUUCAAUCUAUCACCCGAUUAAUUGGCCAAUACGUCCAAUUCAACUCCAAAUAAUUCCAUUUCUCUGCCAAUACUCCAAAUCAUCAAACACAAAUUAAAUAACUUGAAAUAUGGUAAAAUCAUCCUCACAUUUUCUCUUGGAAAAAUUCAGCCAUGGAGGUUCUUGAGGGGUAUACGGUUUUUCAUGCUAAACAUUACCAUUUUCGGUUUCCACCACCACAAUUCAUUAAAUUCUAACUAAAUAACAUAAGACAUCACAAGAUUCAUCUUUCAAUAUUUUCUUUAUGAAAUUCGGCCAAUGAAGAAUCCAUGAAGAAUAUGUGAUUUUUCUUACUUAUUUUCCUUCCAAACAUGAUAAAUAAACUAAAAACACUAAAAUAUCUCAAAAUCUAACCAAAUGAAUCAUCAAAUCUUCUCUCUCUAAAUUUGGUCAGCCAUGAAUCCUUCAUGAUAUCUUGUGAUUCAACCAUGGAAAUGUAUAGGAAAGAUAGAUCACAAGCUAGAGUUAAGAAAUUUCACCUUGGAUGUCUUGAUUCCUUGAAAUCUAGUGAUUUUCCCUUGAAUUUCUUAGCUAAGGUUUUGUUCUUCUUCUUCUCUUCCUUUUUCUUCCUUUGGCCGACCAAGAGAAAUGAGUUGGGAGGGUUAUGCACUGAUUUUUAAAGCCAAAUAAUAAAAUAAUCAAGCUUGACACUUGUCACCAUGUUAUUGGUCCAUGAUUAAAAACUUAAUAAUUAAGCUUUCUUCCACCACCACAUAAAACCCUUCAAUUAUCCAUGAUAUAAAAUGCUAAUGGAUGAAAUCCAUGGGCAUGACAAGUGUUGAGCAGUGUAAAAUUACAAUUUUGCCCCUAGGGUGGCAAAAUAACUAUUUUGCCUUUAUCCUUGAAAAAACAUCGAAAUUAAAAUUCUUCACUUCUCAAACUCAAAUUAUACUCCAAAUGAUCAAUCUUAGUCAAAAAUUUCAUCCAACACUCACAUCUUAUCCUCGGGUGGCAAAAUGACCAUUUUACCCCUACAUCAUAAAAAUUCUAAUUUGACUCCAAAUUGGUCCUCAAACUCUGAAUCACCAUUUUAAGUCAUGCUAGGGUCUUAAAAUUCUCAAUUUCAUCUUAAAAUCUCUAUAUGGACUAGUUCGAGGCUUAAUUCUACUGAAUUGUACCAUUUGGUACAUUGUCGUCCUUUAACGAUUUUCGAGGUACCUAAGUAAGCAAACAUGCAUUCUUAUGUAGGAAUGGCAUAAUAAACAUAUUGUAGAGCCGGGCUUGACAUGCACAAACUCUUAAUUUUUUUUAGUAAGCUUACUCUUGAAAUUUUGGAAAUUUGGAAAUUUUGAACAUGUAUUGCUUUGUCUUGGAACAAGAUGCCGUCUAAAACGAGAAUUGCCUUAAGGGUAUUGAGAGAGUAAAAUGCUUGGGAUGAGCCUAUGGAACCACCAUCAAUGUCCACGUCAAAAUGUGUGGUUGAAAUAUAGUAGUGAAACAUGCUCAAAAUGUAAAACCCAAUUAGAUGUACAUUGGUGAUGAGAAUGUGGUAGUUGGGAAUUACUACCUUAUAGGAUGAGGUGUCACCCUAAAAGAUUUGGCAGCAAGGUUGUAAAUUUUGGCUCUUGAGUUUGUUGAGUUCUGUAAUAGAAGUGAGGCACAAUCAGAGGAAUGAGUUGAUUCUAGUUCACUAGAUGCAGACUACGAGCCUUAAUACAAAUAUCAAUGAGGGGUUAUUAAGGUUAUUUUGGUAGAUUUUAUGAAGUUAAAGCCUUCGUCUUUUACUGAUACAAAUGUAGAGGAAGAUCCAUAAAGAUUUUAGGAAGAUAUGGGAUGUAUUUGUUCAGCUUUAUGAUUUUCCACACCUAGCUUAGUGGAAUUUGUUGGAUUUAGACGAAAGGACAUUGCCAGGAUAUGGUUUAUUUCACUCAAGAGGGGUAGAUCAUCUAAUUCAGCCCAUAUGACAUGGAAAGAGUUUGUCCAAGCUUUUCUAGAUCACUUCUUGCCUAGGAGCAUGUGAGACACUAAGGCACAAGAGUUUGAGACAUUGAUACAAACCCCAAACAUGACAGUGACAAAGUAUGAUGUUUGUUUCACCCAAUCAUCGAGAUACGCUCCUUACUUGGUCCUAACUAAGCAAAAGAGGAUGAAAAGAUUUAUUCAAGGAUUAAUUGUGUCGUUAUUUAGAGUCCUUGCCUCUUAGAGAUUUGCCUUCUAUGCGGCAGUGGUGGAUGUAGCUAGAACGUUUGAAACUAAGAGAAUGAAAUCCAAAUUGGAAAGAGGUAGUGGUUGAAAGGCUUUAGACAUAGAGCCAAUAGAGCCGUAGAGAUUCUAGAGUGACUAAGAGUCCCACAUUCAUACACCUUUAGAGUCAUGAGGGAACCACUAUUACAUAUAGGCCACCAAGGAACAGUGAUUUGUUUAUACCACUUCUAAAUGAGAGCAAUCUAGUGGAGCAUCUAAUUUAGGCCUUAGGUAGAAGGUGUUUUGUGUAGUUAUUGUGGAAAGAGGCAUGGUGGACUGUGCUGAAAAGUAGUUUGGUUAUGUUUUAGACAUGGCCAAUCUAGGCAUUUGAUGAGAGAUUGCCCAAUGCAGAGGCAAUCAAUAAAGGUUGAUCAUGGAUAUGGGAAACAAAUGUCAAAUACUCUGCCUAGAACGACAUCGAUUGGCAAGAAUGUUAGAGGUGAUAAAGGCAAGGGUGUAGCCUCAUCAUCACGAGGUAGAUCGACACAAUUGGAUAAUGAUGGAAGAGGUCAAGCAUGGGUGUUCACUUUAACACUGCAAAAUGCUCAAACUUCUAAUGUAGUGGUCACAAGUACACUUUUUAUUUGUGGUACCAAAGCUUUGGUUUUAUUUGAUCUCGGAUCCACACAUUCCUUUGUGUCCCACACUUUGUGCAAAAGUUGGAUAAGUUUUGUAACAGUAUGGAUAAACCCCUGAUUGUGACUACUCCCUUAGAGGAGAUAUUUGUGGUAGAAUAUGAGCAUAAGUCUUGUGUCGUCCGUACUAAGGACAAGGACAUGUUAGAGGACUUAGUGUUUCUACUAACUAUGGACUUUGAUGCGCUAUUGGGAAUGGACUAGAAUCCUACUUUGCUAAGGUAGAUUGCUACCAUAAACUUUUGAAGUUUAAGUUUCAAGAGGAAUCCUCAUUUGUGGUUUAUGGGCAUGAUAGCCCAAUAUGAAUAGAGGUUAUGUCGAGUAUGGCAACUAGACAAAUGCUAAGGCAAAAAGGCCUAGGUAAGAGAUCCGUCAAUAGAUGGUGAGAUUAUGGAUUAUGUACCGUACUAGGUGAGUAUUCGGAUAUGUUUCCAGAUGAACUACUUGGAUUGCCUCUCGAGAGAGAGACUAAAUUUUGUAUCAAUUUGAUUCUUGAUACAAAGGCAAUUUCUAUACCUCUUUAUCAAAAGGCACCAGUAGAAUUAAAAGAGCUUAAGGAGCAAUUGGAGGAUUUGUUGAACAAAGACUUCAUACGCCCAAGCAUUAAGCCUAAGGGAGCUUUGGUGCUAUUUGUCAAGAAGAAGGAUGGAAGCCUUCAAGUUAUGCAUAGACUACUGACAACUAAAUAAAGUGACAAUAAAGAAUAAAUAUCCACUUUGAGGAUUGAUGAUUUGUUUGACCAGUUGCACGUUGUUUUGUGCUUUUCUAAGAUUGAUCUACACUCUGGGUAUCACCAGUUAAGAAUACAAGAAAAUGAUAUACCUAAGCCAGUUUUUGCACAUGUAUGAGCAUUAUGAAUUUUUAGUUAUGUCAUUUGGACUCACUAAUGCCCCUGUAGUAUUUAUAGAUUUAAUGAAUAGAUUGUUCUAGGCAUUUUUAGAUAAAUUUGUGGUUAUGUUCAUAGACAACAUAUUGGUGUAUUCUAAGAGCCUAGAGGAACAUGCACAACAUUUGAGAAUCAUGUUCCAUACGCUAAAGAGCAUAAAUUAUAUGCUAAAUUUUUGAAAUGUGAGUUUUGGCUAAAUAAAGUCAGUUUCUUGGGACAUACUGUGUCUGAACAAAGGGUGCAAGUGGAUCCCAAUAAGGUAGAAGUAGUGGAGAAUUAGCCAAGGCCGACAUCUGUGAUAGAAGUUAGAAGUUUUUUGUGUUUAGCUGGGAAUUACAGAUGUUUUAUACAAAAAUUUUCUAAGAAUGCAUCCCUUUUGAGAAUAUUGCCUCAAAAAAGAGUCAGGUUUGAUUGGUCUAAUGCAUGUGAGGAUUGAUCCGCAAUCUUUCUUACUUUUUUUGUUCCUUGUUAGCUUUAAUGCUCUUUUUUUUUCAGAAAAUCCUUACUUUAUUGUUGUCUUUUCGUGCUUCUCAAAGGGGAAUUAAAUGAGGCUUGAGUCUAAUGCCAACUAGAAGUUAGAUAGCUCUCAAAGUCUUUUUUCUUCAUUGGGCGUUGUGCCCGUCCUUGCUUAGGAGUCGCGGUGAUAAACAACAUAUAUAUAUAUUUUUUAAUGUCUUCCAUUGGGCGUCGUGGUGUUGGGUGCGUUGGUGCCAUGGUGCUGAGGCUCAAUCACGCCUUGAGGCCUCUUUCCCAAUUGGGGUGCCACAAUGCUGAUCCCGUGGAGGCCAUUGUGUUUAAAGCUCUUUCUUAAUCAUUCAGACUCUACUACAUUACUUCAACUUCAACAUAAGUGUCACCACUUCUGUGCUGAAAUGGGCAAAGUGUUAAACAUGAAAGUUGUAUCUCCAUUUCUUAACUUUCUAAUGGUUCAUGAAUUAUGUUAAUUGGGCUUUUUUAGUAAAAGAUAUGAUCAAAAUACCAAAACAUGUGUAGAUGAAGUUUGCACCUCACAUGUAUCUCCUUCACUAAACAAGCCCUCUUUUCAAAACAUAGCUAUAAAACAAAAACUUGACUUAAACUAUAACUAAACAAAAAAAAAACAUCGUAAAAUAACUUAACACAAUUGAACCCAAUAUAAUUAAAUUGAAUAAAAUAGAUGGCGAAAAACUCCUAAUGCUUAAAUUAAAUCUCAAGAACUUAGAUAAAAUAUAGUAGAAAUUAAAACCAAAUAACUUUAUAAAAUAGAGUUAUCAAUGGAUCGUACCCAUGUAGGUCCAUGCAUCAAUCAUGUUACAGAAAUGGGAUGUGACAAUGUGGGUAUCGCCCACUAGACCCUAGUAAGUUACUUUACAUUACUCAAUCAUAAAUCAAUCACAUAUAGCUCAUUUGUCAUCAUUAUCAUCAUGCAUGCAUAAAGUAUUAGUCAUCAUAAAUAGAAACAUUUAUGCAUAACUGCAAACACAUGAUUACAGACUUCUCAACAUAAGCUGUGAAUACAAUUUUCAUUCACAAUUACUUGUACCCAGUACAAUUCAUAAAAAUUCUAGAAAUACACCUCAAGUGCUCAUAUGGGCUCACACACCAUCAUUUUUAACAUUCACAUAUAUGCGUAUAAGUAACUUGCCAUUCAAUGGCUUAGCAUCUCCAUGAGUGGAUAUGGGAAGGGGACAAAUUGAAGGGUUAGAGCUUUUGCAUAAAUACAUCCUUUAAGUAUCAUGCACAUAUAAACCUUUAAAUACACAUUUAAUGAACUUAUAAAAGAAUAGUCUUGCCUUUGAAGAAGUUUCAUAAAUCCAUUGAAAAUGAAUAUCAAACCUUUAAAUCAAUGAAUAGCAACUUUAACAAACAUUGAAAAUAACUUUCAUAGAUUUUGAAUGCCCAUAAUUCUUUAAAACCCCAUUUGAAAGUAAAAUCGUUGCAUGGCAUCCAAAAGGGUUAACUUGUCACCACCCAAACCAAGGGGCCAUGACUAGUGCAAGAGUCUAGUAGGUAGGGCUCACAAUGAAAGGGAUUCAAAUUAGGCUCAAGCAGAUCAUGCGCACUAGAAUAUUAAAAUUUUAAUCCCUUAAGCCAUGGAUCACUUUAAUGGAAACUAAUCUAGAAAAACCAUAAAAGAAAGAUUUUGACAUACUUGAAAGUUUGAUGUCAACUUUAUUUGGUGGAGUCCUCCUUGGGUUUUUGUUUUUGACUUUUGUACACCAACUAAGACUUAUCAAACUAUAGCAACACAAUUGUCUUGCCUCUAAUAGUGAUCCACAUAAUCAUUUGCAAAAAUCUCUUCACUGAGAGUGUGUGAAUUCCUAAGCCAAAGUUUGUGCGAGCAAACUCUCAACUUUGAGCUCCUUUGUGUUUCUCUCUUUUUAGUUGUGAUCUAUCUCAACACAUGAGAAAAUAAAAACAUAACUCUUUUAUAUGUUUAAGAGGUGGCUAAAGGAUUCUUUUAUAGAGUGAAUUGACCUACUUUAUAUCUAACAAGGAUUAGAAAAUGUCUUAGGCUAAUUGGGCUUUUAAUUAAUAUUCCAUCAAAUCAUCUUUGAUUUAGCUCAAUACUUUAUCAGAUUAGGCCUAUAUAAAAUCAAUUAGAUCACAUCCAAUUGAACUCAAAUUAUUUUCAACAAUUCACCUUAUGUGUGUGACCUAUUAAGUGCCCAAUAUGUUGGCAAUAAAUAUAAAUUAAUUCAAUUAAAAAUUUAAAUUUAUAUUUAUAGAUUAUGAGCAGUAUCUAGCAAUACAUCAUGACCACCCAAAUGUCAAGAGAGUCAAUAUGAUUUGACUAACCUUUUAGUGUACACUACUUAAGUGUAGUUCAGUCCUUUCAUCAUAUAUCUCGUAUAGAUAGAAAGCUUAGCUUGAUGUCUACUUUCCAAUUAAUCCAUAUUAGUUAUACAGUUGCCAUAUUGACUUAUCGAGAUUGCCUUGGCCAAGGACUUUUAGUCAAUAUAAGCCAAGAGCAAAUGAGAUCCCCUUCAAAUCACUUGGGGUGAUGAAUCCUCUCUAAACUACUCAUUCAUCUGUGCAUGCUUCAUGCCAUAAACAAAGACACCUUGUUUAGGCAUCUAGUUGUCUGCAGACUUGUAGGGAUGAAAUUAAAGCAUGAUAAUUCACAUACAAUAUGAUCUAGUAUCACAAUUCACAUACAACAUUUGAGUAUUUCAUUAAACACUUAAGUGAAAUACCGAAUGAAAGUCUUGUAACGAUCAUGUUCAGUAAACUUGUUCCUUAACAAGCACCCACUCACUAUCCUCAAGUAUCUCACAUACUUUAACCUAUGAGAUCGAUUGCUUACUUCAAAAGUAAAGAGGCCUACCAUGUACCAAUUUUUUAGCAUUUUUGUGAAAUCUCACCCUAAUGUCAGAUUUCUUAGUUAGCAAAUCCUUAGAUGAGCAAGUUAAAUUGUGUUUUACGCACUUGAAAUUUUGUUUUAUAAUUAGAAAAUUUCAUGUUUAAAUGUUUUCAAAUGAUAUACAUAGUUUGGUUUGAUAUCAAGUCCAAUUCAACAAGGUUUUGACUUGAUUUUUAGCUAUUGGAGCUUAUCUAUGGAUAGAUGUUGAUAACUCUAUUAUAUAGAGUUAUUUUGACACAUUUUGGGGGCUUAAGUAGUUAAAUCUUUGAGAUUUUAGGUUCAAAUCCUAAUAUUUUAAGUGUUUGUCUAGUUUAAGUUUGAUUACAUGUUGAGUUGUUAAUUUAAGCUAUUUUAGCUAAAUUUUACGUUAUUUUGUUUUAAAGUACUUUAAGAGUAGUAUUGGUAAUUUCUUUUAUUGCUUUUGUAGGAAAUUUGAUGAAAAUUCAUGCAAGCAUGACAAUUGCUUCAUUCAUAUAUAUUGCGGUAUUUUGACUAUAUCUAUCCAUACAAAACUCCAAAUGAAGUGAUUCUUAGACCACUAGACUUCUAAGAGGAAGGUCUAGAACUUUUAUGUUUACCACUUUACCAGUUCAGAUUGUAUAAUGGUCAAAAUAUUUGUCUAAGUUGGAGCACUACAGCAAUAUGCAGGGACUGAACAUGAUGCAGAAUUUGGAGCAUAUCUUUCAAUCCAAAAGUCCAAUUACAUUAUUCUUAAGCUAUUGGAAAGUUAAAAGAUGGGCCUACAACUUUUCUGUUUAUCACUUCUCCCAGUUUGGAUGAGAUUAGGGUGAAUAUCAUGUUCGAAUUUGAUAAACCAUCGUCGCACUGGGAGAACACGACUGUAGCAUUGGUGAAAGAAAGCUCACCAUACAAAUUUCUUAAGAGCUCAGUGCUACAGUGCUAGUAUAGCAAAAAUCCAGUGCCACAGUGUUAAGAAAUCAAGGCCGAGGCACUUAGCGAUUUUCCAAAAAUAAAAAUUUGAUUGGAUUUUGGAAAUUAGGUUACUUGAAGCCUAUUUAAGGGACCUUUUUCAAAGGUUUUAAAGGGGAGGCAGAAACCAACUAUUAUGGAGAUUUGGAUCCAAGAACAAAGCAAGAAAACAAAAGAAUUUGAGAGGGAAUUGAGAUCAUAAAGCUUCAAUAAUUAGUUUCUUUCUCUACUUUUGUGUUUUUUUUUUCUUUAACUUGGAUUCAUGGCUAAAUUUCUUUGGAUGUUGUUUUUAUUAGUUAUUAUGAGCUAAACUAUAUUUCUAGUAUUGUGGUGGAUUUCAACAUGCAAUUUGAAUAUUAUUUUCUCUUUUAUUUUUCAUGAAUGGGUGUAGUUUUGCUUAUUUAAAUAUGUUCUUCAUGCUUUUCAUUGUUUGACCAACAAUUAACUGAUUUGUGAAUCUAAUUGAGACUCGACAAAGAGAUUUUAGAUUGAACUAAGGUAUGACUGGUGUAUGUUCACGUCACUUAGGUGAUCUGAUUUACGAUUCGGGUAGACAUGUGCCAAUUGCCAUACAUAGCCACAUUAGGACACUUGCUUAAUGAACUUAAUUUAAUUGAUUCCUAUAGACAUAUAAUGAACUAAUUAAGUUAGGUAUUUGUACAAGCAACUCGACGGAGACUUGUCCAUAGCUUUGGAUUCUAGGUUAGUAAAACCACAUAAGAAAAAAAAUAACAAGAAAAGCUGGUAUCAAAUGAAAUGUUGAAUGAACCCAUAAUCCUAGGUCUUUAAUAUACUGCUUUUCUCAACUUAUCUAGUUUGUUAGUUAAUUUAGUCUUUAUUUUAAUUUUGUUUUAAUUAAGUUUUUGCAAAUUUUGAUUACUUAAAUAAGAUUGAUUUUUUAUAAGAUUUUAGUACUUAGUAAAAAUUUAGGAACAAAUUUCUGUGGGAACGAUACUCUACUUCAUCACUAUAUUACUAGUUCGAUAUGUAUACUUACAUGUGCAAAAUCGACAACAGAUGUCUAUCAAUAGAUUUUUUUUGUUUGAAUCUAGAAAUGAUUUGGAUGAAUAUCUAUCGAUAGAUAUUCAUCAUCUAUAGAUAUAUGAGUGACAUCUAUCGACAGAUAGAAAUCUAAGAACUUUUUAAAAUGGUUUUGAAGCUAAUCUAUCAAUAGAUGCGCUCGAUCUAUCGAUAGAUGACACUGUUUUUAGAAAACUAAUAGGGACAAAAUGGCAUUUUUCUCAUGUAAAACUAUAACUAUGGCACAUUAUUCGAGGGUUAGCAACCUUCAGUAGUAGUUUUACAAGGCAAACCUCUUCUAAAACCCUUUUAACUCAUUUUUGAAAAAAAAUCAUUCCUUUUAAUAAUUCUAAGCUUUGUUUUAAGACUUAACGAUAAAAAUGACAUUUUUAAGCUUUGAAACCCAAAAGCUGAAAAUGACAUUCUAGAAAUUUUGUUUCUUGCUCUAGAAAUUCUAUUGGAGGAUUAAAGUUAAAGGUUUUAUGAUUUUUCAAGUUAUCGAAGCUCAUCUAAGGUAAGAGUAAAAGAUUUACUGAUUGUAGAAUGGGUUUAGUAAGAGAAAAUAGACUUAGUCAAUAGCGAAUAACUUUCGAAAGCUCUUAGAAUGAUUAUUUCGAGGUUGUUAGGCUAUAAAUUAAUUGAUAUGAUUAUAGUGUGAUAGGAACAAUCGUAAAGUCUAAGGAAAUCACCGGAGAUAGGUUAUGAUUGAGUUUUUGAUCGAGGUGAGUGGACAUAACACUUUAAAAACUAGUUUGACAAGUAAAGUUGAAGCAUGAUUUGAGAAAUUUCAAUAAGUAUGAUUUUCUAUAAAUACAUGUGAAUUGAAAAAUAAUUUUGGAUGAGAAAAAUAUUUUGAAAUUUUCUUUCAAUCUACUAUGUAUAUAAAUAUUCUAUUAGGUAUUAGUUCUCAGCAAUGGGGGACAAGCACCUUGUUGUUUGAAGCACUCAAUCACUCUAGUCUUCUAACUAGUAUGGGUACAGGAUAUGAUUAAUGCAUAUGCUAAAUAUGUUUAGACAUGAAACAUGUGAUGGAUUGCAUGAUGAUUUUGUUGGUAUAUGCCCAUGAGCCAAUCGGAUUAGUCAAGGAAUAUAUAAUGUCAUUUAAUGCAUACUUAAUCACAUAACUACAUGUGAUAGAGGCUUUCCUUCAUGCUAGUGCAAUAAUAAGGAGUUAUUAAGUACGAAUUAGAUGAAACCCAUUGAACCUAAAGGCCUUGCAAGAGAAUUGUAAAGUUCUUACAAUUAUGAGAUCACUAUGCAUCAAAGCCAUGUUCCUAAAAUUGUUCCUGUUUAUUCUUUUGUAAAGAUAGGACAUCGACAAUGCUCAAAGACUAGUACAUUUUAAGCCUCCUUACUUAGGAAGUAAGCAAUCGAUCUCAUAGAUUGAAGUAUAUGGGAUACUUGAGGAUAACAUAUGGGUGCUCGUUAAAGAACAAGUUCACUAAACAUGAACUACAAUGAGAACUCCAUUUGGUAUUUCACUCAAGUGUCUAUGGAAUAUGUUCUCAUGUCAUAGUCGUCAACUAGUGCUCAAACUUGAGACAUUAGGUCAUCUUGUGUGGGGAAUGAUAUACUUUGAUUUCACCUCUACGAGUCUAGAGGCGACCAGAUACCUAAACAGGGUGUUUUUGGGUAUGCCAUGAAGCAUGAGAAAGCAUUGAGUGGUCAAGAGAGAAUUCAUUAUCCCAAGUGAUAUGAGGGGAUGUAUCUCACUUGUUCUCAAUUCUUGAUUAACUUGUAUAAAGUCUUUGGCCAAGCAUUAUGAAUUUGAAGAAAGCUAGUUUCCUAAAUUCAUAAAGUUAGUCAUAAAUUAUGAGAACUAAUAUGGAAUGUUAUAAGUAGACACUAGGCCAUGCUUUUCAACAUAUCUGAGAUAUUUGAUGAAAGGACCGUAUUGCACUGAGAGGCUUAUCACUGAAGGGCUUUAUCAAAUUCUUUGAUUGGCUUUUUAAUAUUUAGAUGGUCAUGAUGUAUUGCUAGAUACCACUCAUGAUCUAUAAAUAUAAAUCAAUUAUUAAAUUGAUAUUUGAUUAGGAUUUAUAUUUAUUGCCAACAUGUUAGAAGCCUAAUGGGUCACACACAUUAAGUGACAUGAUUGAGAUUAAAUAAGGCUGAUCAAUUAAGAUGGACUUAAUUAGAAUAGACCAAAAUAAAGUAAAAAAUUAAUAAAGUUCACAAAGACUUAAUUAAAUUAAAGUACAACUGUUGUAUCUAGGGUUACAACUUAGUUUGGCUAUGUAAAUAUGUUAUAAACUAAAACUCUAAGCCUCUAGCCACUCCUUAGUCAUUUCUUAAAAUUAGAAAAGAAAAAAAUAGUUUUCUUUAUAUAACAAAAAUAAGAUUCAACAAAAAAUUUGGUCUUUUUGUUUUAGAAACAAAACUUGCUAACACAAGUAAAAUCUUACCUUUGAAAAGGUCUUAUUUAGUCAUUGUGUGGAUUACUGUUAAAAGCCAAACUCUUGGGUGGCUAAGGAUUUAACAAAUCCUAAAGGUGUAGAAGCAAAGAUUUCAAUUACAAGAUUUUAGACUAUCUUAUUCUUUUUCAAGUUUCUUGCUUAAUCACAAACCUUUUGGAUUUAAAGCUCUUGAUUAGAAUAUCUAGAGUAAGGUAUGUAACUCUUGAAAUUAUUAAUAUUCAUAAUUAAUUUGAAAAUUACAUGAAAAAUAAAAACAUUAAUUUUGUAGGAUUUGGUUGUUUCUUUGAUUAAAUGUUAGUUUAUUAUUCCAUUGCAUUAUAUAUUUUAAUUUCUUGAUUAUUUUCAUAUUUGAGCAUGAGGUCAAAUCCCAACAGUGGUAUCAGAGCCUUGUUUGAGGUUUUCAUAUAAUAUGCAUGCUUCAUUCUUGUGAUAAUCAAUAUGAUUGAUUUGUGUGUUGAUUUGGUGUAUAUCAAUUUUGAAGCCUUUAACAGUAUUUUAAUUGAUUUGAUGUUUUUCAAUAUGAUUUAUCUGUUUUUCUAUUUUAAUUCAAAUCUGAACAGCAUGUAAUUAACUCAUUAAAACAUGUUUUAAAAUGUUUAAAAUCAUGUUUAGUUGAAGAAUUAAUAAUUGGAUUAAAAAGCUUGCAAAGCAGAGUUGAAAUCGGAUAGUUUUGAGAUGUUUUGAAGAUUAAUGUGCCAAUUAUAUUUUUAGUAACAUUGGGUAAGUGUUAUGAGUAGUUUUUAAUUGUUAAAAAUUAGUUUUAUCAAAUUAAAUUACUGCAUGUUUCGGCCAAACUUGAUUUAGUAGCUUUUUGUUCAUAAAAAUCAUGUUUUCGAGUUCGAAAACAACAAAGAUUCAAUGUAUUAAAUUUUGGGUACCUAUGAUCGGUUUUGGUGGCUUAAUUCUUCAUGAAUUUUAUGUUUAAUUGUUAAACACACUUAUUGGAAAUUUCCAGUAGCUUUUUCAUGAGUUUGACUCAUAAUUUAUGGAGUUUGAAGAGCACUUAAAUGCCAUCUAUUUUAAUUGUGGGUGAGUCAUAAAAAAAUAGGAAAUUAUUUCCUACUUUAAUAGAUAAUCCUUAAAUUACGAAUAAUAUUUUCAUUUGGAAAAUUCAUAGGAAAUAGUUUCCUACUUUAAAAGAAUUUCCUAAAGUUCUGUGGUAGCAUUGAACUUUCCUUAAAAUUUUGGUUUAACUAGAAGUUUCCAAAAUUUGUUAAGUCACCAUUUAGGUAAUUUGAACAGCAUACAAGUUAGGAAAUUAAUCCAUGUUCUAAAUGUUAGAAAUUAAAAUGUUGAGUUAGAUAUAUUUCAGGAAGUUUACCUAAAAUAAAGAGGUUUCCAAAAUUAAAAGGAGUUUUAAUUAUGGAAAGAAUGAAAAUGGAAUGUCUUAAAAAAGGAAAAUUUUAUUUCAAUGAAUUUCUAAUAUGAAAUAAGAAGUAAAAGGUUUACUCUAAGUGCUUUGAAAAUGGAAAUUUCUUAAGCACUAAAUUGAAAUAAAACAAUACCAAAUAAUUUGAGUUGGCACUUUAAGUGAAUUAAUUGAUGUUUUUCUCAAAUAACACACAAGAUCACCAAGUGAUAUUGAGCUUGCAAUUAAUUCUAUGCUUUUGAUUAUGAUUAUAAAGCAUGAGGAUGAUUAUAGACUUAGACCUUAGAAGAUUAGGUCAUGGAUGAUUAAAUUUAUUUCUUAUGUUAUUUAUUUUAAAAUAGGGUCUGCGCACCCUGCCUUAUUUCUAUGUUCUCUUAGGUUGUAAAAUUCUUUUCUCACCUAACUCCCUUCGAAUGUUACUCAAGGUUUCUUGAUUAUAGAAUGUAAUUAGUUACAUCAAAGUGUAAAACUAGGGUUAGAUAGAAAAAUUUUUGUAACUUGAAGAUUGAGAUUUGAACGUGCCAUGGAGAUUUAAGGAAAUUACAAGCAAAGCUUGAAGACAUGAUUGCAAAAUACUUUAGGAAUUUGAACAACUAAUUUCCUUAAUGGCUCGAGAAAAUUAGAAUUAGUAAAAUCCAUAAUCGUCCUAGCAGUUGGCAUAAGAUAGAUUUAUUUUUCAGUAUAUAUAUAUGAUAUAUGUGAGAUGCGAUUAAUGUUAUGCAUGUCAACAACGUCGAAUCAAUGAGACCUUAAUUAAUAAGUUAAUAAAGAAGAAUCCCUCAUUAAUACAUUGAGUCAAAAAGUUACCUUCCACCAUAUCACAAGAUAACUAGGCUGCUCUUUUAAUUGGAAGCUUGUUGUUACGACCCAGUACUCUCCUCGAGCCCGUGACAACCGUUGCGAUGUCUCGAUACACAUUCAUUACCCUAAAUGCCAAUCGAAACCUCGCAAAGCUUAAUAUCAGUUUUCGCACCUCCCCUGUGAGCAAUAAUUACUAAAUAUCAUAAUUUAAAAGAUUAUAAGCUCUUUCCAAAUCAAAACAAUAAUAAAAAAUUUUUUUUGUCUCACAAGGGCAUUUUGGUCAUUUUUUCUAAAAUUUUUGAAACUUGCUGAAAAUAUAAUAUAUAGGGGAAAAUACACAUUUCAUAACUAAAAACAAGUUUUUAUGUCUAAAACAUUCAUUUAGGGUGAAAUUGUAGCUAAUAGAAUAAAAUAUAAAUAUUAAAUGAAAUAUUCCAUUUUCUUAUAAAAUAAUAUUUAUAGAACUCUACGUAAAUAAUUUUUGUAGCGUAAAAGCAAAAUAAAUCCAUACAUACAGUAAUACAGAUAACCAGAGUAUGUAAUUUAAUUUAUAAUGACGUGUGGGCCCUAAAAUGACCAAAGGUAACAAAGGCUGUGGACCUACAAUUUCUGAGGAGACAAGUCCAAUAAUAACCCUCGAUGUAAUCAGCUAUUUACGGACUAUCCUAAUCCUGGAAUGACUGAAAAAGAAGGUGGUGAGUUUAUAUAAACUCAGUGAGUAAACAAACAUCAUCUAAAAUAUCUAAAGUCAAGUAAAUGGAGACAACUUAAAAUAGUUCAUCGUACUAUGAUUAAUAACAUUUAAAACUCAUUUCAACUAAAUAAAAUAAUUUCAUUUCACUCAAAUAAUCAACAUGGCUUGUGAAUUUCUUAAAAAUUUGGCUCGUGCCAAAAAUUAAUACUCGAUGAUGCCUUACAUCAAGGCAUCCAACCGAGUCCGCCAAGGCUGUUAAGGAAAAGUUCAUAUACGCAUAAAACGCAUUUUUACGUUUAAAAGCAUAGUCGUUCCUUGGCAUUGGCUAAGUUCACCCUCACGUGGUGAUUUAGCGUGUAGUGAACUUUAAAGUUUUACCUCACGAGCUACCCUCUGCGCCUCUCGUACUAAGGUAAAUAUAACGGGGUUUACCGUACCCCUCUAAUAGGUUGGUCCACGAAAACCCGCCCACUGCAGUAAGCUAAAUACAUAACCCACCAAAUCAAUAACAUUUCGGCAGCAUAACAUGGCUAAUAUAAUACUAUCCAGCCUAUUAAGGCAGAACAAAUAAUUCAUACAAUUUCAACACAAUUUCCAAUUCAACCAUUCAUGCCAAUAUCACCAUAAGCCAUUCAAUUCAAACCAUAAAUUUACAACACAAUCAAACAGUCUCCAAUUACUCAAUUUCUAAAAUGAUCAUUCAAUUUCAAAAUGAUUUCUAAAACUCAUUUCAUUUAAUCACAUUUUACUUAUAAAACAUAAGGAUUUACCAUUUAAACUCAUUUUUCUAUAAAUCACAAAAAUGAAUAAAAACUACUUUAGAUAAUUUAGACGAUAAUAAGGUUAUUCAUGAUAUCAGGAGUUCGAAAUACUCCUAUUCUUGGUCCUCUGGCACAAUGUCUUUACCCUUUUUAGAAGACUCGCCACCUAUACACAAUACAUGACAAAUAAUUCAAUAUAUUGUGUCAUGUCAUUAUAAAUCUAUUUCAGGCUCUAUAUGAAUGCAUGAGGUUGCUUGGAUAGUCACUUAAAGACGGUGUUACACGUUGGUUCAAUUAUGAUCGGAAUGGAUCAUUUUUCGACCUAAUUCGAACUCUCCACCUUUGAUUUAACCAAAAGAUCCAAAUUGACUCUAGUUAUAUUCAUCACACUCCAAUGUCCCAAAGUACACCAAAACGCCUCAAUGAGCUUGACUUUCUCAUUGUUAUUCAACUUAUUUACUAAAAGAACUAUACUUUAAAAUUAUCAUUUUCAAUUUCCAUCACCACCAUUCAUUAAAUUCUAACUAAAUAACACAAGAUAUCACAAGAAUCAUCAUCACUAGGUUCCUUAUGAAAUUCGGCCAAGGUGGGUGCAUAAACACUAUGGUUUUUCAUACUUGAUUUUUUUAUACCAUAAUCAUUAGUUCCUAACCAAAUCACUUGAAAUAAAAUCAAAUCCACCAUCAAUAUACCAUAAGGAAGAUUCGGCCAAUGAGGGUGAUGGAAGAACAUGAAUUUUUCUUGUUUACUUUUCAUGCUACACAUCACCAACCAACUAAAAACACUAGAAUAACAUGUUUUCCAACUAAAUUCAUCAUCAAAUCUUCUCCCCCUAGGUUUGGCCAACAAGGGAUACAUUAUGAAAUCAUGAAUUUCAACCAUGUAAAAUGAGAAAGAAUGCGUAGGAAAGAUAGAUCUCAAGCUAAAAUUGAACAAUCUUACCUUUUGUCACUUGAUUCCUUGAAAUUCCAAAUUUUUCUCUUGAAUUUUUCUAACUAGGGUUUUGUUCUUUCUUUCUUUCCUCUUUUCCUUGGUGAGGUCGAACAUAUAGGAGUGAAAUGGGAGAGCCAUGUGUUGAUUUUUACUGUAAAUUAUAAAAAAAUGAAAGCUUGCCACUUGUCACCAUUCCAUUGGUCCAUGUUUAACACUUAACAACUA
This 17489-nucleotide long non-coding RNA is filed under the name Theobroma cacao (cacao). Its description in RNAcentral is "long non-coding RNA (TCAC_LNC002324)". The record is from RNAcentral. Lineage: Eukaryota; Viridiplantae; Streptophyta; Magnoliopsida; Malvales; Malvaceae.